GCCUGAUCAGCACGCCGCGUGAGGGAUGAAGGCCUUCGGGUUGUAAACCUCUUUCAGCAGGGAAGAAGCUGACGGGACCGUCCCAGCAAAACACGGACCGGUUCAUUACAUGACCCCCGGUGAUAUAAUAGGUACGGGGCUAGCGUUGACCUAAAGUACUGAGCGUAAACAGCUGGUAUGCGGUUUGUCGCGUGUGAAGUGAAAAUCCUAAGCUCAACCUCUGACUUGCAGACUGUACCGGCAGACUACAGUGAAGGAGGGGAGAAUUGAAUUCCUGGAGGAGCAAUGCAAUGCUCAUAUAUCAAAACAAACACCGAUAGAGAACGCACAUCUCCGGGUCUUAACUGAAACUGAGAAACCAAUGCGUGCGAACCGAACUAGAUUACCUGGCCUGGCACUCCAUACCAUAUACGUUGGGAACUAGGUGUGGGUAUCAUUCCACGGGUUCCGUGCCCUAACUAACUCAUUAACCUCCCCGCCUGGGGAGUACGGCCGCAAGGCUAAACUCUAAUGAAUUUGACAGG
This 524-nucleotide ribosomal RNA is filed under the name uncultured Actinomycetes bacterium. RNAcentral describes it as "bacterial SSU rRNA". It matches the Rfam family "Bacterial small subunit ribosomal RNA", at positions 381 to 917 of the family's 1533-position model. The record is from RNAcentral. Lineage: Bacteria; Bacillati; Actinomycetota; Actinomycetes.